AUGAAGCCGCUUCGGUGGUGGAUUAGUGGCGAACGGGUGAGUAACACGUGGGCAAUCUGCCCUUCACUCUGGGACAAGCCCUGGAAACGGGGUCUAAUACCGGAUAAUACUCCUGCCUGCAUGGGUGGGGGUUGAAAGCUCCGGCGGUGAAGGAUGAGCCCGCGGCCUAUCAGCUUGUUGGUGGGGUAAUGGCCUACCAAGGCGACGACGGGUAGCCGGCCUGAGAGGGCGACCGGCCACACUGGGACUGAGACACGGCCCAGACUCCUACGGGAGGCAGCAGUGGGGAAUAUUGCACAAUGGGCGAAAGCCUGAUGCAGCGACGCCGCGUGAGGGAUGACGGCCUUCGGGUUGUAAACCUCUUUCAGCAGGGAAGAAGCGCAAGUGACGGUACCUGCAGAAGAAGCGCCGGCUAACUACGUGCCAGCAGCCGCGGUAAUACGUAGGGCGCAAGCGUUGUCCGGAAUUAUUGGGCGUAAAGAGCUCGUAGGCGGCUUGUCACGUCGGAUGUGAAAGCCCGGGGCUUAACCCCGGGUCUGCAUUCGAUACGGGCUAGCUAGAGUGUGGUAGGGGAGAUCGGAAUUCCUGGUGUAGCGGUGAAAUGCGCAGAUAUCAGGAGGACUCACCGGUGGCGAAUUCGGAUCUCCCAUUACUGACGCUGAGGAGCGAAAGCGUGGGGAGCGAACAGGAUCCCAUACCCUGGUAGUCUAGACGCCGUAAA
RNAcentral lists this ribosomal RNA (721 nucleotides) under Streptomyces globisporus. Its description in RNAcentral is "bacterial SSU rRNA". It matches the Rfam family "Bacterial small subunit ribosomal RNA", at positions 69 to 806 of the family's 1533-position model. The record is from RNAcentral. Lineage: Bacteria; Bacillati; Actinomycetota; Actinomycetes; Kitasatosporales; Streptomycetaceae.